CCUACGGGAGGCAGCAGUAGGGAAUAUUGGGCAAUGGGCGGAAGCCUGACCCAGCCAUGCCGCGUGCAGGAAGAAGGCGUUAUGCGUUGUAAACUGCUUUUUUAUAGGAAGAAGGAUCCCUUGCGAGGGAAGGUGACGGUACUAUAAGAAUAAGCACCGGCUAACUCCGUGCCAGCAGCCGCGGUAAUACGGAGGGUGCAAGCGUUGUCCGGAUUUAUUGGGUUUAAAGGGUGCGUAGGCGGUUUAUUAAGUCAGUGGUGAAAGACGGUCGCUCAACGAUUGCAGUGCCAUUGAUACUGGUAGACUUGAGUGAGAUUGAGGUAGCUGGAAUGGAUAGUGUAGCGGUGAAAUGCAUAGAUAUUAUCCAGAACACCGAUUGCGAAGGCAGGUUACUAAGUCUUAACUGACGCUGAGGCACGAAAGUGUGGGGAUCAAACAGGAUUAGAUACCCUGGUAGUCCACACUGUAAACGAUGAUGACUAACUGUUGGCUUUCGGGUCAGUGGUACAGAGAAAUCGUUAAGUCAUCCACCGUACGGGUAGGUACGGCCGGACCGAACGGUACGAACGUACGAAAGAAGUAGUACGGCGUGAGACGUACGACGACGGACGACGACGAGGGAGGAGG
Molecule: ribosomal RNA, 627 nt
Filed under: uncultured bacterium
Lineage: Bacteria
Description: bacterial SSU rRNA
Rfam family: Bacterial small subunit ribosomal RNA (bases 1-532)
Source: RNAcentral